Molecule: transfer RNA, 341 nt
Filed under: uncultured Lactobacillales bacterium
Lineage: Bacteria; Bacillati; Bacillota; Bacilli; Lactobacillales
Description: 16S-23S ribosomal RNA intergenic spacer
Rfam family: tRNA (bases 90-162)
Source: RNAcentral
AGGAAUACGUUAAUAACUUUGUUAUUAACAUUACGGAAACUACACACGUUUGCCUUUGUUCAGUUUUGAGAGGUUUACUCUUAAAAUUCGGGGCCUUAGCUCAGCUGGGAGAGCGCCUGCUUUGCACGCAGGAGGUCAGCGGUUCGAUCCCGCUAGGCUCCAUUAACGACAUCUAGUCGUUAAUUUUUGUUCAUUGAAAACUGGAUAUUGAAGAAAAAAAUCAAAAAACAAACCGAGAACACCGCGUUGAAUGAGUUUUUUAAUAAGUUCAAUUGCUUAUUUAUCUUGAUGAAACUUCUAUCGCUAGAAGGGAAGUCAAAACCCAACCGCAAGGUUGAUAA